ACGUUAGCGGCGGACGGGUGAGUAACACGUGGGUAACCUACCUAUAAGACUGGGAUAACUCCGGGAAACCGGGGCUAAUACCGGAUAAUACAUGAAACCGCAUGGUUUCAUGAUGAAAGACGGUUUUGCUGUCACUUAUAGAUGGACCCGCGGCGUAUUAGCUAGUUGGUAAGGUAACGGCUUACCAAGGCAACGAUACGUAGCCGACCUGAGAGGGUGAUCGGCCACACUGGAACUGAGACACGGUCCAGACUCCUACGGGAGGCAGCAGCU
This 273-nucleotide ribosomal RNA is filed under the name uncultured Staphylococcus sp. Its description in RNAcentral is "partial 16S ribosomal RNA". It matches the Rfam family "Bacterial small subunit ribosomal RNA", at positions 89 to 355 of the family's 1533-position model. Lineage: Bacteria; Bacillati; Bacillota; Bacilli; Caryophanales; Staphylococcaceae. The record is from RNAcentral.